CUUGACUGUAUCUUGGAAUUGGGUUCGGGCUUCUCUUGCGCAGACUAGGUGGGAGGCUAUGAAGAUUUCCUUCCGGGGAAGUUGGAGCCACCAGUGAGAGACCACUCUGGAGGGGCUAGAAUCCUAAUGGUGAUCCUUGAAUCAGGACACUUGACAGUUUCAGGUGGGCAGUUUUUCUGGGGCGGAAGCCUCAUAAAGGGUAACUGAGGCGCGCAAAGGUCCCCUCAGUCUGGACGGAAAUCAGACAACGAGUGUAAAGGCAAAAGGGGGCUUGACUGCAAGACCUACAAGUCGAGCAGGAGCGAAAGCUGGCCUUAGUGAUCCGACGGUACCGUGUGGAAGGGCCGUCGCUCAACGAAUAAAAGUUA
This 368-nucleotide ribosomal RNA is filed under the name uncultured organism. RNAcentral describes it as "bacterial LSU rRNA". It matches the Rfam family "Bacterial large subunit ribosomal RNA", at positions 2099 to 2465 of the family's 2925-position model. The record is from RNAcentral.